RNAcentral lists this ribosomal RNA (476 nucleotides) under uncultured Alphaproteobacteria bacterium. RNAcentral's name for it is "bacterial SSU rRNA". It matches the Rfam family "Bacterial small subunit ribosomal RNA", at positions 369 to 863 of the family's 1533-position model. The record is from RNAcentral. Lineage: Bacteria; Pseudomonadati; Pseudomonadota; Alphaproteobacteria.
CAAUGGGCGCAAGCCUGAUCCAGCCAUGCCGCGUGAGUGAUGAAGGCCUUAGGCUCGUAAAGCUCUUUCGCCAGAGAUGAUAAUGACAGUAUCUGGUAAAGAAACCCCGGCUAACUCCGUGCCAGCAGCCGCGGUAAUACGGAGGGGGUUAGCGUUGUUCGGAAUUACUGGGCGUAAAGCGUACGUAGGCGGAUUAGUCAGUCAGAGGUGAAAUCCCAGGGCUCAACCCUGGAACUGCCUUUGAUACUGCUAGUCUUGAGUUCGAGAGAGGUGAGUGGAAUUCCAAGUGUAGAGGUGAAAUUCGUAGAUAUUUGGAGGAACACCAGUGGCGAAGGCGGCUCACUGGCUCGAUACUGACGCUGAGGUACUAAAGUGUGGGGAGCAAACAGGAUUAGAUACCCUGGUAGUCCACACCGUAAACGAUGAAUGCCAGUCGUCCGGCAGUAUACUGUUCGGUGACACACCUAACGGAUUAA